CCUGCCGUGUCACCGGUGGAAUCUAGGAGCCUGAAUCAAGAGCGGCUCCGACAACGUAACGAAGCAUCGUAAGGUGCGGGGUAUCAAUCGCGAGAGGCGUACCCUUCUGGCAGCCACGCGCCGGUGAAGUGC
RNAcentral lists this non-coding RNA (132 nucleotides) under Paraburkholderia diazotrophica. The record is from RNAcentral. Lineage: Bacteria; Pseudomonadati; Pseudomonadota; Betaproteobacteria; Burkholderiales; Burkholderiaceae.